RNAcentral lists this ribosomal RNA (253 nucleotides) under uncultured bacterium. RNAcentral describes it as "partial 16S ribosomal RNA". It matches the Rfam family "Bacterial small subunit ribosomal RNA", at positions 524 to 776 of the family's 1533-position model. The record is from RNAcentral.
UACAUGGGGUGCAAACGUUGCUCGGAAUUACUGGGCGUAAAGGGUUCGUAGGUGGCCAACUCAGUCAGACGUGAAAUCCCUCAGCUCAACUGGGGAACUGCGUCUGAUACUAGAUGGCUCGAGUGCAGGAGAGGAACGCGGAAUUCCAGGUGUAGCGGUGAAAUGCGUAGAUAUCUGGAGGAACACCGGUGGCGAAGGCGGCGUUCUGGACUGCAACUGACACUGAGGAACGAAAGCCAGGGGAGCAAACGGG